AGUGAACGCUGGCGGCAGGCCUAACACAUGCGAGUCGAACGGCAGCACAGUAAGAGCUUGCUCUUACGGGUGGCGAGUGGCGGACGGGUGAGGAAUACAUCGGAAUCUACUUUUUCGUGGGGGAUAACGUAGGGAAACUUACGCUAAUACCGCAUACGACCUACGGGUGAAAGCAGGGGAUCUUCGGACCUUGCGCGAUUGAAUGAGCCGAUGUCGGAUUAGCUAGUUGGCGGGGUAAAGGCCCACCAAGGCGACGAUCCGUAGCUGGUCUGAGAGGAUGAUCAGCCACACUGGAACUGAGACACGGUCCAGACUCCUACGGGAGGCAGCAGUGGGGAAUAUUGGACAAUGGGCGCAAGCCUGAUCCAGCCAUACCGCGUGGGUGAAGAAGGCCUUCGGGUUGUAAAGCCCUUUUGUUGGGAAAGAAAAGCAGCAGGUUAAUACCCCGCUGUUCUGACGGUACCCAAAGAAUAAGCACCGGCUAACUUCGUG
RNAcentral lists this ribosomal RNA (492 nucleotides) under uncultured bacterium. RNAcentral's name for it is "partial 16S ribosomal RNA". It matches the Rfam family "Bacterial small subunit ribosomal RNA", at positions 29 to 507 of the family's 1533-position model. The record is from RNAcentral.